RNAcentral lists this ribosomal RNA (598 nucleotides) under uncultured Cladosporium. RNAcentral's name for it is "LSU rRNA". It matches the Rfam family "Eukaryotic large subunit ribosomal RNA", at positions 44 to 668 of the family's 3401-position model. The record is from RNAcentral. Lineage: Eukaryota; Fungi; Ascomycota; Dothideomycetes; Cladosporiales; Cladosporiaceae.
CAAUAAGCGGAGGAAAAGAAACCAACAGGGAUUGCUCUAGUAACGGCGAGUGAAGCAGCAAUAGCUCAAAUUUGAAAUCUGGCGUCUUCGACGUCCGAGUUGUAAUUUGUAGAGGAUGCUUCUGAGUAACCACCGACCUAAGUUCCUUGGAACAGGACGUCAUAGAGGGUGAGAAUCCCGUAUGCGGUCGGAAAGGUGCUCUAUACGUAGCUCCUUCGACGAGUCGAGUUGUUUGGGAAUGCAGCUCUAAAUGGGAGGUAAAUUUCUUCUAAAGCUAAAUAUUGGCCAGAGACCGAUAGCGCACAAGUAGAGUGAUCGAAAGAUGAAAAGCACUUUGGAAAGAGAGUUAAAAAGCACGUGAAAUUGUUAAAAGGGAAGGGAUUGCAACCAGACUUGCUCGCGGUGUUCCGCCGGUCUUCUGACCGGUCUACUCGCCGCGUUGCAGGCCAGCAUCGUCUGGUGCCGCUGGAUAAGACUUGAGGAAUGUAGCUCCCUCGGGAGUGUUAUAGCUCUGUGAUGCAGCGAGCGCCGGCGAGUCCGCGCUUCGGCUAGGAUGCUGGCGUAAUGGUCGUAAUCCGCCCGUCUUGAACACGGACCA